GCACUUACGGCUGUAACGAAGUGCUUCGCGCACGGGCCGGACGUUCUG
The submitters of this non-coding RNA (48 nucleotides) gave its source as unclassified sequences. The record is from Rfam.